RNAcentral lists this ribosomal RNA (1869 nucleotides) under Triticum aestivum (bread wheat). RNAcentral describes it as "partial small subunit ribosomal RNA". Lineage: Eukaryota; Viridiplantae; Streptophyta; Magnoliopsida; Poales; Poaceae. The record is from RNAcentral.
AUGGGCAAGAAGGGAAGCAGCUGGAUCACUGCACUCAAGAAGGCCUUCACCACAAACCCCAAGGACAAGCCAACAAAUGUGCAGCUGGUAGCGCAGUACCCGCAGCCGCCGCCGCCGCAGCCGCCGCAGCAGUACCGGGAGAGCGCGAGGGACAAGAAGCGAUGGGGGUUCGGGCGGUCGCGGCAGCACGCCGACCCGGCGCCGCUGAUGAGCAUCCCGCUGUACCGGCAGCCGAGCAGCAUCGAGAAGAUCCUGGGCGACGCCGAGAUGGAGCGGCAGUACUACGCCAGGCCGCCGGCGCAGUACCAGAUCGCCCCCGCCAAGCCCACCACCGCCACCGUCGCCGCCACGGCGCCGACCACGCCCGCGGCGCGCGAGCGCGAGCGGGAGUGGGGGCGUGAGCGCGAGCGGGAGCGGGAGCGCGAUGGCGGCGGCGACAAGCAGCAGCAGCACGCGGCGAUGCUCCAGCUGCCUGCGCCGCCGUCCUCGCCGCCGCCGCUCAUCCGGCGGUUCGACCACGACAGGGAGCAGCAGCAGAGGCUGCAGCGGCUGCAGCAGGGCAGGGCGGAGAUGGCCGAGUGGCGGCAGCCGCAGCAGCAUACCAGAACACGGGCGAGGCAGCGGGCCGUGGCGCCGGAGCAGGCCCGCGCGGCGGCCGUGGCGAUCCAGGCCGCGUUCCGGGGCUACUCGGCGCGCCGGAGCUACCGGUCGCUGCGGGGCCUGAUCCGGCUGCAGGCGGUGGUGCGCGGGCCCAGCGUGCGGCGGCAGACGGCGCACGCGAUGCGGUGCAUGCAGACGCUGGUGCGCGUGCAGGCCCAGGUGCGCGCCAGCCGCGUGGAGGCCAUGGAGCGACGCAACGACCGCCACGGCGCCAUGCUCCGGGACGGCCGCCGCUGGCGCUCCGGCUCGCAGGACGGCGGCAUGUGGGACGACAGCCUGCUGAGCCGGGACGAGGCGGACGCGAGGACGAAGCGCAAGGCGGAGGCCGUGAUGAAGCGCGAGCGAGCCCUCGCCUACUCCUACUCCCACCAGGUGAUGAAGUCGACGCCGAUGGCGGCCCACGCGAUCCUGGCUGACCUCCAGUCGGGCCGGAACCCAUGGUGGUGGUCGCCCAUCGACCGCAGCAGCCACGAGCGCGAGUACCCCCGCCACGUCGAGCCAGCUGUCAGCCGGCCCAGGCCCACGCUCGCCGUCGCGCGCCGCGAGAUGAGCAUGAGCAUGAUGACGCCCAUGUCCACGGCCGGGCACCGCGAGAUGAACAUGAUGACGCCGAUCUCGACGACGGCCGCGCACCGCCAGAUGAACACGAUGACGCCGAUCUCGACGACGGCCGCGCACCGCCAGAUGAGCAUGGCGACGCCGAUGACGACGGCCGCGAACACGCCGGCGCGGUCGGUGGUGUCGGCCUACUACAAGCAGCCCAGCAACAAGCCCGCGCGGGGCGCACGAGGAGCGGCGCCGCCGUCGAGCCACGGCGGCGGCAGCGUCCGCGACGACGAGAGCCUGACGAGCUGCCCGGCGUUCGGCGUGCCCAACUACAUGACGCCGACCAUGUCGGCGUCCGCCAAGGCCCGGGCGCGCGCGCACCUGCUGCAGCAGCAGCUGGACAAGGAGCGGCGCGCGGCGGAGCAGAAGCCCAGGUUCUCGUUCGGGCUCGGGCAGAGCAUCGGGAGCUGGGCCAAGAGCCCGUUCUGGCGGGGCGGCGGCGGCGGCGGGGAGCAGUCGGCCGCGCCGUCGCGGGUGGGCACGCCGGCGGCGUCCACGGCGGGCGGGGGCGGCCGCCACAAGCACCGGCGGUCCGUCAGCGGGCUCAGCGUCGACUCCACCGUGUCCAUGCCGGCCGGCGUCGGCCGUCGGUCGUUCAAGUAG